GCGAGGCCGACAUGCGUAGUCGAUGGGUAACCAGUUGAUAUUCUGGUACCGGCUUGUCACCGUCCGUGUCGAGGUGUGUGAUGCUAAGCAUGUGAGCUUGUCUUGGGAGUGUUUUUGAUGCUUCUGGGGUGGGUGAGUGUGUGAACCGAUCAUGUAGUAGGCAAGCUGCGGAGGGACGCAGUGAGGUAGCUCAUCCCCGGUGAUGGUUGUCCGGGGCUAAGUGUGUGGACUGUCUGGUAGGUAAAUCCGCUGGGCGUGAAGGUUGAGGCAUGAUGGGGAGCCCACGGUUGUGGGUGAGUGAGUGAUCCUGUACUGUCGAGAAAAGCUUCGUGAGCGAGGUGGCGGGUCCGCCCGUACCCUAAACCGACACUGGUGGAUAGGUAGAGUAUACCGAGGCGAUCGAGUGAAUCGUGGUGAAGGAACUCGGCAAAAUGCCCCCGUAACUUUGGGAUAAGGGGGACCUGA
RNAcentral lists this ribosomal RNA (465 nucleotides) under Entomoneis paludosa. Its description in RNAcentral is "Amphiprora paludosa partial Bacterial large subunit ribosomal RNA". It matches the Rfam family "Bacterial large subunit ribosomal RNA", at positions 1396 to 1755 of the family's 2925-position model. The record is from RNAcentral. Lineage: Eukaryota; Bacillariophyta; Bacillariophyceae; Surirellales; Surirellaceae.